UCCCCUCGCGGCGGGCAGGCGGGCGAGCUAGCGGCGCCGCAGUCGCGUCGGCCAUUUUGUGGCGCUGCUCAGUCGGCGGCGCUGGGCUGGACUCGGUGAGCGGAUCAUUGGCGGCCCCCUGCCCCCGCGGCUCGAGCCCCUUGCACGUACGAAGAGCACCCCCCUCCCCGGUGUGUUUUUCAGCGCAGCCUGGCUGUGGCCAUCCACUUGCAAGGGAUCCUAAUUGUGUCAGGCAUCAUGGACAUUCACCACUCCUACUUUGGAUUGACCAAUUCUGAUGAGGGCAUGCAAAUUGCGGGGGGUGAACUGGGUGA
Molecule: long non-coding RNA, 314 nt
Organism: Lacerta agilis (Sand lizard)
Lineage: Eukaryota; Metazoa; Chordata; Lepidosauria; Squamata; Lacertidae
Exons: 2
Source: RefSeq, a predicted model, not a curated record